This 468-nucleotide ribosomal RNA is filed under the name uncultured bacterium. RNAcentral describes it as "partial 16S ribosomal RNA". It matches the Rfam family "Bacterial small subunit ribosomal RNA", at positions 28 to 507 of the family's 1533-position model. The record is from RNAcentral.
GACGAACGCUGGCGGCGUGCUUAACACAUGCAAGUCGAACGGACAGGCCCUGCUUUUGUGGGGUGCUCGAGUGGCGAACGGGUGAGUAACACGUGAGUAACCUGCCCUUGACUUUGGGAUAACUUCAGGAAACUGGGGCUAAUACCGGAUAGGAGCUCCUGCUGCAUGGUGGGGGUUGGAAAGUUUCGGUGGUUGGGGAUGGACUCGCGGCUUAUCAGCUUGUUGGUGUGGUAGUGGCUUACCAAGGCUUUGACGGGUAGCCGGCCUGAGAGGGUGACCGGCCACAUGGGGACUGAGAUACGGCCCAGAAUCCUACGGGAGGCAGCAGUGGGGAAUAUUGCAGAAUGGGCGGAAGCCUGAUGCAGCAACGCCGCGUGCGGGAUGACGGGCUUCGGGUGGUAAACCGAUUUGGACGGUGACGAAGAGGGAGUGACGGUAAUGGGUAAAGAAGCACCGGCUAACUACGUG